RNAcentral lists this ribosomal RNA (669 nucleotides) under uncultured bacterium. RNAcentral's name for it is "bacterial SSU rRNA". It matches the Rfam family "Bacterial small subunit ribosomal RNA", at positions 33 to 696 of the family's 1533-position model. The record is from RNAcentral.
ACGCUGGCGGCAGGCCUAACACAUGCAAGUCGAGCGGUAGAGAGAAGCUUGCUUCUCUUGAGAGCGGCGGACGGGUGAGUAAUGCCUAGGAAUCUGCCUGGUAGUGGGGGAUAACGUUCGGAAACGGACGCUAAUACCGCAUACGUCCUACGGGAGAAAGCAGGGGACCUUCGGGCCUUGCGCUAUCAGAUGAGCCUAGGUCGGAUUAGCUAGUUGGUGGGGUAAUGGCUCACCAAGGCGACGAUCCGUAACUGGUCUGAGAGGAUGAUCAGUCACACUGGAACUGAGACACGGUCCAGACUCCUACGGGAGGCAGCAGUGGGGAAUAUUGGACAAUGGGCGAAAGCCUGAUCCAGCCAUGCCGCGUGUGUGAAGAAGGUCUUCGGAUUGUAAAGCACUUUAAGCUGGGAGGAAGGGCAGUUGCCUAAUACGUAACUGUUUUGACGUUACCGACAGAAUAAGCACCGGCUAACUCUGUGCCAGCAGCCGCGGUAAUACAGAGGGGUGCAAGCGUUAAUCCGAAUUACUGGGCGUAAAGCGCGGCGUAGGUGGUUUGUUAAGUUGGAUGUGAAAUCCCCGGGCUCAACCUGGGAACUGCAUUCAAACUGACUGACUAGAAGUAUGGUAGAGGGUGGUGGAAUUUCCUGUGUAGCGGUGAAUGCGUAGAUA